GUUGAGUGUUGAGCUCUGAUUUUUGACAUGAUUGAUUAUAGUCUCCCCCUACCUGAUGCGCCAAUCUGUUGCGGUCAAUCUCCUGUUACGUCCGUCACUGGUGAAGAGCACCUGCAAGACAAAGUCCUCACAGACUGGAAUUGUGUCCGACGAAGACUCUCCGAUACUUAAAUCAGAGAGAGGAUUAGUGAACAGCAGAUA
Molecule: long non-coding RNA, 201 nt
Filed under: Elaeis guineensis (African oil palm)
Lineage: Eukaryota; Viridiplantae; Streptophyta; Magnoliopsida; Arecales; Arecaceae
Description: long non-coding RNA (EGUI_LNC022584)
Source: RNAcentral